AUUACUAAACAUUUAAAUUUCUAAGUUCAUGUGAGAUUCGAUACGGAAUUAUCAUAGGAAUGUUUAUGGAAAAAAAAUAAAAUAAAAUAAAAUUCCUGUAAAACCAUUCAAACUCCAAGACAACAUUCACAACACAGUAUCGACAAUUCCAACGUUCACAGAGGAGACUCCGGCGUCUGCCACUUCUAACGUUCAUCAAUGACGUCAACGGCAUUCCAGUCGUCUUCUUUCCUCCUUCACCUCGUACAGCAGGGGUUGUGUUUCUUGCAUUUGUUUUGGGUAUUAUCAACACCUGAAACAGUAGCAGUCAUAUUAGCAUUAAUCUGUUGAGGAGAAGUUUGGGGAAUUACCUGAUUGCUGGCAUCUGCAGUCUUCUUGCCCUUGAUUUUGUUUGCAGCUUCAGCAAAUAAAGGUUGGCGUGGCUUGCAGCAGCAGUUGAUGGCCUUCAUUUUGUGGCCUGGCUGUCCACCACUGUUGCACCCUUGCCUGCAGUGAUGAGUGAUCUGCCUGCAGCCCUGCACUUGCUGCAAAAAAGUUCCACACCCUAGCUGCAAAAGGUCCUGAAUUGAAGGUGUGGUCGAUGCUGUCCAUGCCUGCUCUAUCAAAACAACAAAAACAAGGUGAUGGCUCAAUGCCAAAGUUAGAGAGUUUUUCAUUUGUAGGAAGUUUACCUUUUAGUGUUCUCCAUAAAAGAAAAGAAGAUUUAAAAGGAAUGAAUUUAUGCUAUAAAAGGGAAUUGAGGUUGUUCUUAGCCUUUUUGUUUCUGAUUUCCUCCCAACCAGUGGAGCAACUGAAACUGCCAUGGCUGCUAAGUUUCCAUAAAGCUUGGUCAGGCAUGUGCUGCUGAUGAGGGAUUUCUGUGGCCAUGAUGCUGCCUAGGUGGCUGACUGCUGCUGGUAUGAUGAGCUAAUGGCCAUGUUCCAAGCCAAUUGUCCCACCAAAAUGAACAAUUCCCGGAUUGAAGUCUCCAAUGAAUGUGCUGUUCCAUUUGCUGUCUAGUAUUUAACAUGUGUUUCCAAGUUAAAGAUUCUCCCGUAUCCCAUUUUUUGCUCACCGGAUUUGAUCUCUGGCAGUAUUUAGCUCUCAAGAAGUCUACCCACAAGGUCAAUGAUUGCAGCAGAUUGUGUACCGCCAGUGAGGCUUAUCAACAGAGUACUAAAGAUGAUUGGGCAGAGUGGAUAGGCAUUUCAACAUUGAACUUUUGAAAGAAUCACCUAGUCCAGCAAUAAGAACAUGUACAACACUGGCUCAACUACAGCCUUUUUGUUGGGCGAGAGCUGUUUGCUGCAGGUUUUGUUAGUUGCUGGUCACAACUUAGUGAGGCUAGUACGGAGUUUAGAAAUGACAUUUUCUUCUCCAAAUAUCCCACCUGAAAUUCUUGCUACACUUCUUAACUUGGAUGGUGAUGCUUGAAUAUUCACUGCUUGUAAACUUGAAAAGGUUGAAUGAUCUUCAAUUGUCAAGGCGAAUUUCCAUCGAAAUCUUCUAUAAUGAUCUUGCACAGACAGUCUCCAAGGCUUAGCUCGAGUGGAAAAAGGGGAUGGAUUUGAGUCUUAGGUCGCAGGUUCAAGCCCACACCAUGCAAAGUGAAGCCCGAUAUUUAAGUGGAGAAGGGUAGAGGGGCGGGUCCAUUAUCCACUGAGUUUAGAAGGCUAUGAUUGGUCCAAAGGGUGGGCCACAGGCGGAUUUCUCGGUUAUCAUAACAAAAAAGAAAGAUCUCGCAGAGACUUUCGCGAACUCCAGAAGUUUUGAUGAUAGAAUGGCUCGCCAAUAGGGAUGGUAGUAUUUUCUUGAAUGACGGGCUCUUGAAGAUGAAGUGCAUGCUCCAAAUUCCAUAGCACCUCACCCAUAGAUGGCCUGUGCACCAGAUUCAGCUAAGUAUUUCACUGCGUUUCUCCAAAGUUGCUGAAGGAAUCUGGUCUUACUUCGCCCAGAAUGUCGGGAUAUAUGAUAUGUUCCAGUUGUCUUUUCUCCUGCAAAUUCAUUGCCCAGUCAGCUAAGUUGACCUGCUCCCUCGGAAGAGAUUGAUCUCGGGCAGGCCUAGCACUUUAACUUCACAUAAAAUGGUUACCAUUGGAGGAAGAAGGAUGCUGAGGAAACUGUUAAAGAACUAUUAAAGACAAUCACCAAAAGGUGAAGAUGUUUUUGAAAGUCUUGGAGCACCUUUGAUGUUGUUUAAACCCACAAAAGAUUCAAGUGUGGCUAUUUUUUGACUAGGAGCUGUUGGCCUUAUUGCUGCAGACGGAGUAAAAAUUGCUAGUGCUUCAAGGAUAAUUUGUGUCGAUUUAAAUGCUAGCUGAUUUCAGUAAGCUAAGAAAUUUUGUGUGACAAAGUUUGUGAACCCGAAGGAUUAAAGUAAACUAGGUCAAGAGGUAAUUGCUGAGAUGACUGAUUGAGUGUGAAGUGUACUGGCCAUAUAGAUGUUAUGAUUUCAGCAUUUGAAUUGUCCAUGAUGUGUGGUAGUGGCUGUCCUUAUUGUUAUGUACCCCAUAAGGAAGCUGUGUUCAAGACACACUUUUGAACUUUUUAAUGAAAGUACUAUCAAAGUAACCUUCUUUGGAAACUGGACACCUCGUUCAGAUAUUCCUUCUUUUGUUGAGAAAUACAUGAAUAAGGAACUUGAAUUGGAGAAAUUCAUCACUCAUACACUUCCCAUACUAUGAAAUCGACAAGGCUUUUUUAAUUAAUGUUGAAGGGAGAAGGCCUUCGUUGCAUCAUCACCAUGGGAGUGCUAAACUUACUAUCCUAGAAAAGGAGUUUCUAGCUAGUCGCUUUUAUUUGAGAAAAGACCAAGAAUUGGGUGGAACACUAUGAGAAGGAUCCGAAAGCUCCAAUGGCUAGACUAUUGAACAUGAUGUUUGAGGUAAUUUGAUUUUUAAAUGUUUUGUCUUUCUGAUGAACGAGGCAUCUUUUAAUCAUGGUGAAAGGGAAGCUCUGAGAUCUUGUAUAAAUGCUUUGAAUUUCUGGGCUACUGAGAUUUGGUGGGAGUUACAAGACUUCACCCUCAACAUAUUGAAAAGGAUUAUAGAUGAGCUCAUUAUCAACGUAUCAUUGUUCCAGAAAUGGGCAUUAGUGCAGUAUGGAGAACUGUAGUAUUUAAGAUGGAGACUUUCAUCAAAUGCUCCCUCAGAUGUCUGCCUAGUCUUCCUUCAGGAUUUUAAAUCUUUCGUCCUUCUGAUUAAAGUGGCAUUUAUUUAGAAUGGUUGUGUUCUUUUUUCAGAACAUUGGCUAAUCAGGAAAGCAACCCUUGUAUCAUCCACAUAGCUAGAAGCUUUGGGGUACUCAUCAGAUAUAUGCAACGGAAGCAGCUUCCAGACUUGGUAAACUGAUGAUGGAUGCCCUUAUUUUCAUGCAUAUGGAAUUGAGAAGAUCCUAUGGACCUGAAGAGUGGUUGCCCUCAGUGGAUCUGAUGGAAUAAGCUUGAACUAGGCAGUGAAAGGACAUAGCUUGGUGGAUGGCUGUCAUACGGGAGGUGAUGUUUGAAUAUUCACUGCUUGUAAACUUGAAAAUGUUGGAUGAUCUAUAAUUAUCGAAGUAAAUUUCCAUUGAAAGCUUGCAUAAUAAUCUUGCACAGACUGCCUCCAAGGCUUAGCUCUAGUGGAAGAAGGUGGUGUCGCAGGUUUGAGCCCCACACCAUGCAAAGUAAAGCCCGGAAUUUAAGUGGAGAGGGGUAGAGGGCGGGCCUAUUAUCCACUGAGUUUAGAAGGCUAUGAUAGGUCCAAAGAGCGGGUCACAGGAGGAUUUCUCGGUUAUCAUAACAAAAAAGAAAGAUCUCGCAGAGACUUUCGCGAACUCCAGAAGUUUUGAUGAUAGUGAUAGCUCGCCAAUAGGGAUGGUACUGUUUUCUUGAAUGACGGGCUCUUGGAGAUGAAGUGUAUUCUCCAAAUUCCUUAGCACCUCACCCAUAGAUUGAAUGUGCACCAGAUUCAGCUAAGUAUUUUACUGCGUUUCGCCAAAGUUGCUGAAGGAAUCUGGUCUUACUUCGCCCAGAAUGUCGGGAUAUAUGAUAUGUUCCAGUUGUCUUUUCUCCUGCAAAUUCAUUGUCCAGUCAGCUAAGUUGACAUGCUCCCUCGGAAGAGAUCAAUCUCGGGCAGGCCUAGCACUUUAACUUCGCAUAAAAUGGUUACCAUUGGAGGAAGAAGGAUGCUGAUGAAACUGUAAAAGAACUAUUAAAGACACUCACCAAAAGGUGAAGAUGUUUUUGAAAGUCUUGGAGCACCUUUGAAUGUUGUUAAACCCACAAAAGAUUCAAGUGUGGCUAUUUUUUGACUAGGAGCUGUUGGCCUUAUUGCUGCAGACGGAGCAAAAAUUGCUAGUGCUUCAAGGAUAAUUUUUGUCGAUUUAAAUGCUAGCUGAUUUCAGUAAGCUAAGAAAUUUUGUGUGACAAAGUUUGUGAACCCGAAGGAUUAAAAGUAAACUAGGUCAAGAGGUAAUUGCUGAGAUGACUGAUUGCAAAUAUGAUCCGAGUGUGAAGUGUACUGGCCAUAUUGAUGUUAUGAUUUCAGCAUUUGAAUUGUCCAUGAUGUGUGGUAGUGGCUGUCCUUUUUGGUAUGUAACCCCAUAAGGAAGCUGUGUUCAAGACACACCUUUGAACUUUUUAAUGAAAGUACUAUCAAAGUAACCUUCUUUGGAAACUGGACACCUCGUUCGGAUAUUCCUUCUUUUGUUGAGAAAUACAUGAAUAAGGAACUUGAAUUGGAGAAAUUCAUCACUCAUACACUUCCCAUACUAUGAAAUCGACAAGGCUUUUUUAAUUAAUGUUGAAGGGAGAAGGACUUCGUUGCAUCAUCACCAUGGAGUGCUAAACUUACUAUCCUAGAAAAGGAGCUUCUAGCUAGUCGCUUUUGUUUGAGAAAAGACCAAGAAUUGGGUGGAACACUAUGAGAAGGAUCCGAAAGCUCCAAUGGCUAGACUAUUGAACAUGAUGUUUGAGGUAAUUUGAUUUUUAAAUGUUUUGUCUUUCUGAUGAACGAGGCAUCUUUUAAUCAUGGUGAAAGGGAAGCUCUAAGAUCUUGUAUAAAAGCUUUGAAUUUCUGGGCUACUGAGAUUUGGUGGGAGUUGCAAGACUUCACCCUCAACAUAUUGAAAAGGAUUUUAGAUGAGCUCAUUAUCAACGUAUCAUUGUUCCAGAAAUGGGCAUUAGUGCAGUAUGGAGAACUGUAGUAUUUAAGAUGGAGACUUUCAUCAAAUGCUCCCUCAGAUGUCUGCCUAGUCUUCCUUCAGGAUUUUAAUACUUUUGUCCUUCUGAUUAAAGUGGCAUUUAUUUAGAAUGGUUGUGUUCUUUUUUCAGAACAUUGGCUAAUCAGGAAAGCAACCCUUGUAUCAUCCACAGAGCUAGAAGCUUUGGGGUACUCAUCAGAUAUAUGCAACGGAAGCAGCUUCCAGACUUGGUAAACUGAUGAUGGAUGCCCAUAUUUUCAUGCAUAUGGAAUUGAGAAGAUCCUAUGGACCUGAAGAGUGGUUGCCCUCAAUGGAUCUGAUGGGAUAAGCUUGAACUAGGCAGUGAAAGGACAUAGCUUGGUGGAUGGCUGUCAUACGGGAUGGUGAUGUUUGAAUAUUCACUGCUUGUAAACUUGAAAAUGUUGGAUGAUCUUCAAUCAUCGAGGCAAAUUUCCAUCGAAAGCUUGCAUAAUAAUCUUUUACAGACUGCCUCCAAGGCUUAGCUCGAGUGGAAGAAGGUGGUGUCGCAGGUUUGAGCCCCACACCAUGCUAAGUGAAGCUCGGAAUUUAAGUGGAGAGGGGUAGAGGGCUGGCCUAUUAUCCACUGAGUUUAGAAGGCUAUGGUUGGUCCAAAGAGCGGGUCACAGGCGGAUUUCUCGGUUAACAUAACAAAAAAGAAAGAUCUCGCAGAGACUUUCACGAACUCCAGAAGUUUUGAUGAUAGGUGAUAGCUCGCCAAUAGGGAUGGUACUGUUUUCUUGAAUGACGGGCUCUUGGAGAUGAUGUGUAUUCUCCAAAUUCCUUAGCACCUCACCCAUAGAUGAAAUGUGCACCAGAUUCAGCUAAGUAUUUCACUGCGUUUCUCCAAACUUGCUGAAGGAAUCUGGUCUUACAUUGCCCAGAAGGUCCGGAUCUAUGAUAUGUUCCAUCUAUCUCUUCUCUUGCAAAUUCAUUGCCCAGUCAGCUAAGUUGACAUGCUCCCUCGGUAGAGAUCGAUCUCGGGCAGACCUAGCACAAAGAACUUCACAUAAAAUGGUCACCAAUGGAGGAAGAAGAAGGAUGGUGAAACUGUUCAAGACACUCACCAAAAGGUGAAGAUGUUUUUGAAAGUCUUGAGCACCUUUGAAUGUUGCUAAACCCACAAAAGAUUCAAGUGUGACUAUUUUUUGACUAGGAGCUGUUGGCCUUAUUGCUGCAGACGGAGCAAAAAUUGCUAGUGCUUCAAGGAUAAUUUGUGUCGAUUUAAAUGCUAGCUGAUUUCAGUAAGCUAAGAAAUUUUGCGUGAAAAAGUUUGUGAGCCUAAAGGAUUAAAGUAAACCAGGUCAUGAGGUAAUUGCUGAGAUGACUGAUUGCAAAUUUGAUCCGAGUGUGAACGGGGUAAGGUGGGGGGGUUUGGAAGGGUAAGGGGGUAAGGGUGGGGAGGUGUGGGUUCGGAAGGUGUCGUG
Molecule: non-coding RNA, 6605 nt
Organism: Solanum lycopersicum (tomato)
Lineage: Eukaryota; Viridiplantae; Streptophyta; Magnoliopsida; Solanales; Solanaceae
Source: RefSeq, a predicted model, not a curated record